Molecule: ribosomal RNA, 372 nt
Filed under: uncultured organism
Description: bacterial SSU rRNA
Rfam family: Bacterial small subunit ribosomal RNA
Source: RNAcentral
CGGGGGGUGCGAGCGUUGUCCGGAAUCACUGGGCGUAAAGGGCGCGUAGGUGGUCUGAUAAGGGUGUGGUGAAAGCCCGGGGCUCAACCCCGGGUCGGCCGUGCCGACUGUUAGACUAGAGUGCUGUAGGGGCAGGCGGAAUUCCGGGUGUAGCGGUGGAAUGCGUAGAGAUCCGGAGGAAGACCGGUGGCGAAGGCGGCCUGCUGGGCAGAUACUGACACUGAGGCGCGACAGCGUGGGGAGCAAACAGGAUUAGAUACCCUGGUAGUCCACGCCGUAAACGAUGGGUACUAGGUGCCUGGGGGAGCGACCCCUUGGGUGCCGGCGCUAACGCAGGAAGUACCCCGCCUGGGGAGUACGGCCGCAAGGCUG